This is a non-coding RNA of Sinorhizobium sp. RAC02, 113 nucleotides long. The record is from Rfam. NCBI's taxonomy places the organism in Bacteria, Pseudomonadati, Pseudomonadota, Alphaproteobacteria, Hyphomicrobiales, Rhizobiaceae.
CCUGCUCUAACGGGGUGCUUGUGGGUUUCGAUCCAUGGGCUGAGAGGCGGUUUCGCCAACCCGAAGAACCUGAUCCGGCUCGUACCGGCGGAGGGAUUAGACGGCACAUUCCA